AGCACCGUCCAUGCCAUCCGCAGGGUUCGCGAUUCGAACGUA
RNAcentral lists this unclassified non-coding RNA (42 nucleotides) under Sorangium cellulosum So ce56. Lineage: Bacteria; Pseudomonadati; Myxococcota; Polyangiales; Polyangiaceae. The record is from RNAcentral.